Molecule: long non-coding RNA, 355 nt
Organism: Pseudopipra pipra
Lineage: Eukaryota; Metazoa; Chordata; Aves; Passeriformes; Pipridae
Exons: 3
Source: RefSeq, a predicted model, not a curated record
AGUCCCGGCAGGGAUAAAUGUGCUCCUGCCCUUGUGCAGCCUCAGCCAGCGCUGCCCAGGCCCAGAGGAAGAUGAAGGUCGCUGUGCUCAGCGUGGCCCUGCUCUUCACCAUCCUGCUGAGCCCCCCGGCAGAUGCCAAGCCCAUUGAGGUCGACGGCGUCCAAUGUGGGGAGGCAGGCGGGAUCGGCGGCCCGGUGGGUACCAGGGCUUGUGCUGGGCCCAGACCCUCCCCUCUGGUGGCCACCACCCUCCAGGCCAUCCCAGUGCUCCCCAGUCCACCCCAGUGUGCACCGGGGAGGCCCUUCCUCAGGGCCCCCACUCUAUUCCCACACACCCCAGUCCACCCCACCACACA